GACGAACGCUGGCGGCGUGCUUAACACAUGCAAGUCGAACGGAAAGGCCCUGCUUUUGUGGGGUGCUCGAGUGGCGAACGGGUGAGUAACACGUGAGUAACCUGCCCUUGACUUUGGGAUAACUUCAGGAAACUGGGGCUAAUACCGGCUAGGAGCUCCUGCUGCAUGGUGGGGGUUGGAAAGUUUCGGCGGUUGGGGAUGGACUCGCGGCUUAUCAGCUUGUUGGUGGGGUAGUGGCUUACCAAGGCUUUGACGGGUAGCCGGCCUGAGAGGGUGACCGGCCACAUUGGGACUGAGAUACGGCCCAGACUCCUACGGGAGGCAGCAGUGGGGAAUAUUGCAAAAUGGGCGGAAGCCUGAUGCAGCAACGCCGCGUGCGGGAUGACGGCCUUCGGGUUGUAAACCGCUUUCGCCAGUGACGAAGCGUGAGUGACGGUAAUGGGUAAAGAAGCACCGGCUAACUACGUG
RNAcentral lists this ribosomal RNA (468 nucleotides) under uncultured bacterium. Its description in RNAcentral is "partial 16S ribosomal RNA". It matches the Rfam family "Bacterial small subunit ribosomal RNA", at positions 28 to 507 of the family's 1533-position model. The record is from RNAcentral.